Long non-coding RNA from Trichechus manatus latirostris (Florida manatee), 588 nucleotides. RefSeq lists it as uncharacterized. The record is from RefSeq and is a predicted model, not a curated record. The transcript has 5 exons. Lineage: Eukaryota; Metazoa; Chordata; Mammalia; Sirenia; Trichechidae.
AAAGGUAGUGUCCGGUUCCUGGAAUGAAGGGUAUCAGCAUCUUCUGUGUUUGCUCUCCGAAUACAUGGUGACGUUAUUGUUGUAUCUGGAGCUAGAGGAAUGGAGACAGGUGGACUAUUGCUUACAUAAGGGGGUGAGGCUGAUGUUACUAGAUGGAAUUUAAGUAAGAAGGUCAUCGUAUAGCCAUGCUUCAUAGCCGUUGAAAUUGAACAUGUAAAUCUGUUCAUUGAUAUGGGAAAGAUGGUCACAACAUAUAACAUGGAAAAGGCAGAUGAACAAGCCUGCUGAGUGUGUGUAGACAGUGAAAGAAGGUGGAAGUUCUUAUACUUUUUCCACGAUGGAGCAGAUGAACAUCAGGGCACUCUGAAACUCUGACUCGCUAUCAUUUAUGAUAAAAAGAGCUAAUUUCCUCCGAUUUGGCUGAUCUAAAGCUAAAGGUUGUUUAUGGACUUUAAAUAACGUGUUGCAGUCAGAUUUUAUGCGCCCCCUUAGUCCCCCCAGCACCGUGAUGACUGAGGUGCGCCUGACCGAAGCCAUGGUGUUUUCCAUCACCCCAUAUGCAUGCGAAAGCUGAACAAUGAAAAUGGA